This 521-nucleotide long non-coding RNA is filed under the name Homo sapiens (human). RNAcentral describes it as "HSALNT0298451". The record is from RNAcentral. Lineage: Eukaryota; Metazoa; Chordata; Mammalia; Primates; Hominidae.
ACAAGGUCUGAUGGCUUUAUAAGGCUAAGUUUCCUAGCACAAGUUCUCUUUGCCUGCUGCAAUCCAUGUAAGAUGUGACUUGUUCCUCCUUGCCUUCUGCCAUGAUUGUGAGGCCUCCACAGCCAUGCGGAACUGUUGAAAUACACACUACCUGAAGCUGGAUAACUCAUGAACUCUGUUGACAAUUAUAUUCUUUGUCUUUUUAAUUAACUCAUUUGGAGUUGGUGUCCUGAGGACCUAAGCCUAAGAAUCUUCAAGAUGGAAGAGUAGAGUGAACAAUGAAUGAGCCAGAGGGCUCUUGUCCUCUGUGUGCAGCUCUGGGCAGCCAGCAGGUGGAUAUGGGACUUGGCCUGCUGGAGGGGCCCUGGCAAGAGGAGCUGGCAGGAGCAGAUGGCAAAGAUGCACAUGAAAUUUGGUGCCGUGACUCGGAUUGGGGGACCUCCCUUGGGAGAUCAAUCCCCUGUACUCCUGUUCUUUGCUCCGUGAGAAAGAUCCACCUAUGACCCUCAGGUCCUCAGACC